This 683-nucleotide small RNA is filed under the name Cryptococcus neoformans H99. RNAcentral's name for it is "Cryptococcus neoformans var. grubii H99 hypothetical RNA". Lineage: Eukaryota; Fungi; Basidiomycota; Tremellomycetes; Tremellales; Cryptococcaceae. The record is from RNAcentral.
CGAAGCAUGGUCUGCAACUACGGUCUGAUAGUUGUUUGCUAACAUUUCUACGCGGGUCAAGGGGAGUCGCGAUAUCCAUAAUAGCCCUGACGGAGAUCUACCCAUCAUUUGUCUGUCUCCUCAUUUUCAUAUCUUUGACAAAAUUGGAUGGAGAAUGCCUUUCGUCUCUUUCACUGGCGCUCUCUACAUCAUAGUCUUUGCCCUCGUCGGUCUUACCACCGUCCACCCCCUCUGCUCUAUCCCCAUCUCCCACUAGUAUAUAAGCUUGCCUGAUCUUCCCAAGCUAAUAUACCUCCAUCCUAUACCAUACGCCAACAGACAAGUGUCAAGAGGUAUAUCAUACAUAUAUCUCAUUGUUUAGUUAAACUACGGCUUUCCAUCUCGUCUCCAAGGCCGGACCUUGUUGGGGGACGAGUCGUAACAGCUUUGAGCUUGUUUAAAAGGACAUGGAAGCUCUUGAUUGGUGGGUCAAGAACCGCCUGGCACACUUUUCGACGGUCGAUCACACUGCUUUGCCUCAGUGACUCAAGGUUAUAAGUUUGAUAGCCACCUCUAACAGAUUAGUAUUUAGAUGUGUAAUAGUCCUUGUAAAAUGCAGUAAUAGUCUCUAUCUGUCUCUUACUGUGAGCUUAUCCCAGCGGCCUUUACUAUGAUACUUGCAAUGCAUAUACAACUUCUUUUUG